AGAGUUUGAUCAUGGCUCAGAAUCAACGCNNGGCGGCGCGCUUAACACAUGCAAGUCGAACGAGAAAGCCCCGCAAGGGGUGAGUAAAGUGGCGUACGGGUGAGUAACACGUGGGUAAUCUACCUUUUGGUGGGGAAUAACCCUGGGAAACCGGGGCUAAUACCGCAUAAGCUCGAAAGAGGAAAGGAGCAAUUCGCCGAAAGAGGAGCCCGCGGCUGAUUAGCUAGUUGGUGAGGUAAAGGCUCACCAAGGCUAUGAUCGGUAGCCGGCCUGAGAGGGCACACGGCCACACUGGCACUGAAACACGGGCCAGACUCCUACGGGAGGCAGCAGUGGGGAAUCUUGCACAAUGGGGGAAACCCUGAUGCAGCGACGCCGCGUGAGCGAUGAAGCCCUUCGGGGUGUAAAGCUCUUUCGGCAGGGACGAUAAUGACGGUACCUGAAGAAGAAGCUGCGGCUAACUACGUGCCAGCAGCCGCGGUAAUACGUAGGCAGCGAGCGUUGUUCGGAGUUACUGGGCGUAAAGAGUGCGUAGGCGGUUUUCUAAGUUUGGUGUGAAAUCUCCCGGCUUAACUGGGAGGGUGCGCCGAAGACUGGAAGGCUAGAGUAUAGGAGAGGUAAGCGGAAUUCCUGGUGUAGCGGUGAAAUGCGUAGAUAUCAGGAGGAACACCUGCGGUGUAGACGGCUUACUGGACCAUAACUGACGCUGAGCACGAAAGCGUGGGUAGCAAACAGGAUUAGAUACCCUAGUAGUCC
This 756-nucleotide ribosomal RNA is filed under the name uncultured bacterium. RNAcentral's name for it is "bacterial SSU rRNA". It matches the Rfam family "Bacterial small subunit ribosomal RNA", at positions 8 to 796 of the family's 1533-position model. The record is from RNAcentral.